AGUGAACGCUUGGCGGUAGGCUAACACAUGCAGUCGAACGGCAGCACAGGAGAGCUUGCUCUCUGGGUGGCGAGUGGCGGACGGGUGAGGAAUGCAUCGGAAUCUACUCUUUCGUGGGGGAUAACGUAGGGAAACUUACGCUAAUACCGCAUACGACUACGGGUGAAAGCCGGGGACCUUCGGGCCUGGCGCGAAAGAAUGAGCCGAUGCCCGAUUAGCUAGUUGGCGGGGUAAGAGCCCACCAAGGCGACGAUCGGUAGCUGGUCUGAGAGGAUGAUCAGCCACACUGGAACUGAGACACGGUCCAGACUCCUACGGGAGGCAGCAGUGGGGAAUAUUGGACAAUGGGCGCAAGCCUGAUCCAGCCAUACCGCGUGGGUGAAGAAGGCCUUCCGGGUUGUAAAGCCCUUUUGUUGGGAAAGAAAAGCAGUCGGUUAAUACCCGAUUGUUCUGACGGUACCCAAGAAUAAGCACCGGUAACC
RNAcentral lists this ribosomal RNA (482 nucleotides) under Xanthomonas sp. oral taxon 037. Its description in RNAcentral is "bacterial SSU rRNA". It matches the Rfam family "Bacterial small subunit ribosomal RNA", at positions 29 to 501 of the family's 1533-position model. The record is from RNAcentral. Lineage: Bacteria; Pseudomonadati; Pseudomonadota; Gammaproteobacteria; Lysobacterales; Lysobacteraceae.